RNAcentral lists this microRNA precursor (75 nucleotides) under Sorex araneus (European shrew). RNAcentral describes it as "miRNA (ENSSARG00000019481.1)". The record is from RNAcentral. Lineage: Eukaryota; Metazoa; Chordata; Mammalia; Eulipotyphla; Soricidae.
AGAACCGGGGAUGUAGCUCAGUGAAAGAGCACUUGCCUUGCAUGUGUGAGGCCUUGGGUUCAAUUCCCGGGACCA